Molecule: ribosomal RNA, 167 nt
Filed under: uncultured Glomus
Lineage: Eukaryota; Fungi; Glomeromycota; Glomeromycetes; Glomerales; Glomeraceae
Description: partial 18S ribosomal RNA
Source: RNAcentral
UCCCGCUGGCCAAUAGCGUAUAUUAAAGUUUUUGCAUUUAAAAAAGCUCGUAGUUGAAUUUCGGGAUUAGUAGGUUGGUCAUGCCUAUGGUAAUGCACUGGCUUUACUGAUUCCUCCUUCUUGAUGAUCUGUAAUGUCAUUAAUUUGGUGUUGCAAGGAGUCCAGGA